RNAcentral lists this ribosomal RNA (443 nucleotides) under uncultured bacterium. RNAcentral's name for it is "partial 16S ribosomal RNA". It matches the Rfam family "Bacterial small subunit ribosomal RNA", at positions 331 to 793 of the family's 1533-position model. The record is from RNAcentral.
CCAGACUCCUACGGGAGGCAGUGGGGAAUAUUGCACAAUGGGGGGAACCCUGAUGCAGCGACGCCGCGUGGGUGAAGAAGUCAUUCGUGACGUAACGCCCUAUCAGCAGGGAAGAAAAUGACGGUACCUGACUAAGAAGCCCCGGCUAACUACGUGCCAGCAGCCGCGGUAAUACGUAGGGGGCAAGCGUUGUUCGGAAUGACUGGGCGUAAAGGGUGCGUAGGCGGUGUAGCAAGUUAGAAGUGAAAUACCUAGAGCUUAACUCAGGUGCUGCUUCUAAAACUGCUAUACUUGAGUGCAGUAGAGGAAAGUGGAAUUCCUAGUGUAGCGGUGGAAUGCGUAGAUAUUAGGAGGAACAUCAGUGGCGAAGGCGGCUUUCUGGACUGUAACUGACGCUGAGGCACGAAAGUGUGGGGAGCAAACAGGAUUAGAUACCCCUGUAA